RNAcentral lists this ribosomal RNA (239 nucleotides) under uncultured bacterium. Its description in RNAcentral is "partial 16S ribosomal RNA". The record is from RNAcentral.
CUGCUGCCUUCCGUAGGAGUCUGGGCCGUAUCUCAGUCCCAAUGUGGCCGGCCAACCUCUCAGUCCGGCUACUGAUCGUCGCCUUGGUGGGCCGUUACCUCACCAACUAGCUAAUCAGACGCGAGGCCAUCUCUCAGCGAUAAAUCUUUGAUAUAUCUGCCAUGCGACAAAUAUAUGUUAUGCGGUAUUAGCAGCCGUUUCCAGCUGUUGUCCCCCGACUGAAAGGCAGGUUCCUCACG